Molecule: ribosomal RNA, 492 nt
Filed under: uncultured Acholeplasma sp.
Lineage: Bacteria; Bacillati; Mycoplasmatota; Mollicutes; Acholeplasmatales; Acholeplasmataceae
Description: bacterial SSU rRNA
Rfam family: Bacterial small subunit ribosomal RNA
Source: RNAcentral
CCACGCCCGCUCAGAAACUCAAUGAAUUGACGGACCCCGCACAAGCGGUGGAUCAUGUUGUUUAAUUCGAUGAUACGCGAAGAACCUUACCAGGUCUUGACAUCCCCCGCGAUGCUUUAGAGAUAAAGCGGAGGUAUUCGGGGAGACAGGUGGUGCAUGGUUGUCGUCAGCUCGUGUCGUGAGAUGUUGGGUUAAGUCCCGCAACGAGCGCAACCCCUAUUGCUAGUUACCAUCAUUAAGUUGGGGACUCUAGCGAGACUGCCAGUGAUAAACUGGAGGAAGGUGGGGAUGACGUCAAAUCAUCAUGCCCCUUAUGACCUGGGCUACAAACGUGAUACAAUGGCUGGAACAAAGGGAUGCGAAGCAGUGAUGUGGAGCGAAACCCAUAAAACCGAUCGUAGUCCGGAUCGCAGUCUGCAACUCGACUGCGUGAAGUCGGAAUCGCUAGUAAUCGUGAAUCAGAAUGUCACGGUGAAUACGUUCCCGGGCCUU